This 564-nucleotide ribosomal RNA is filed under the name uncultured bacterium. Its description in RNAcentral is "partial 16S ribosomal RNA". It matches the Rfam family "Bacterial small subunit ribosomal RNA", at positions 356 to 912 of the family's 1533-position model. The record is from RNAcentral.
UGGGAAUUUUGGACAAUUGGGCGAAAGCCUGAUCCAGCAAUGCCGCGUGUGUGAAGAAGGCCUUCGGGUUGUAAAGCACUUUUGUCCGGAAAGAAAUCCUUGGCUCUAAUACAGUCGGGGGAUGACGGUACCGGAAGAAUAAGCACCGGCUAACUACGUGCCAGCAGCCGCGGUAAUACGUAGGGUGCAAGCGUUAAUCGGAAUUACUGGGCGUAAAGCGUGCGCAGGCGGUUUGCUAAGACCGAUGUGAAAUCCCCGGGCUCAACCUGGGAACUGCAUUGGUGACUGGCAGGCUAGAGUAUGGCAGAGGGGGGUAGAAUUCCACGUGUAGCAGUGAGAUGCGUAGAGAUGUGGAGGAAUACCGAUGGCGAAGGCAGCCCCCUGGGCCAAUACUGACGCUCAUGCACGAAAGCGUGGGGAGCAAACAGGAUUAGAUACCCUGGUAGUCCACGCCCUAAACGAUGUCAACUAGUUGUUGGGGAUUCAUUUCCUUAGUAACGUAGCUAACGCGUGAAGUUGACCGCCUGGGGAGUACGGUCGCAAGAUUAAAACUCAAAUGAAUUG